UGCAAGUCGAGCGGUAGAGAGAAGCUUGCUUCUCUUGAGAGCGGCGGACGGGUGAGUAAUGCCUAGGAAUCUGCCUGGUAGUGGGGGAUAACGUUCGGAAACGGACGCUAAUACCGCAUACGUCCUACGGGAGAAAGCAGGGGACCUUCGGGCCUUGCGCUAUCAGAUGAGCCUAGGUCUGAUUAGCUAGUUGGUGAGGUAAUGGCUCACCAAGGCUACGAUCCGUAACUGGUCUGAGAGGAUGAUCAGUCACACUGGAACUGACACACCGUCCACACUCCUACGGGAGGCAGCAGUGGGGAAUAUUGGACAAUGGGCGAAAGCCUGAUCCAGCCAUGCCGCGUGUGUGAAGAAGGUCUUCGGAUUGUAAAGCUCUUUAAGUUGGGAGGAAGGGCAGUUACCUAAUACGUGAUUGUUUUGACGUUACCGACAGAAUAAGCACCGGCUAACUCUGUGCCAGCAGCCGCGGUAAUACAGAGGGUGCAAGCGUUAAUCGGAAUUACUGGGCGUAAAGCGCGCGUAGGUGGUUUGUUAAGUUGGAUGUGAAAUCCCCGGGCUCAACCUGGGAACUGCAUUCAAAACUGACUGACUAGAGUAUGGUAGAGGGUGGUGGAAUUUCCUGUGUAGCGGUGAAAUGCGUAGAUAUAGGAAGGAACAU
RNAcentral lists this ribosomal RNA (658 nucleotides) under Pseudomonas antarctica. RNAcentral's name for it is "bacterial SSU rRNA". It matches the Rfam family "Bacterial small subunit ribosomal RNA", at positions 56 to 709 of the family's 1533-position model. The record is from RNAcentral. Lineage: Bacteria; Pseudomonadati; Pseudomonadota; Gammaproteobacteria; Pseudomonadales; Pseudomonadaceae.